GUAAGGAAUAUUGGUCAAUGGACGCAAGUCUGAACCAGCCAUGCCGCGUGGAGGAUGAAGGUCCUCUGGAUUGUAAACUUCUUUUAUCUGGGACGAAAAAGGGUCUUUCUAGACCACCUGACGGUACCAGAUGAAUAAGCACCGGCUAACUCCGUGCCAGCAGCCGCGGUAAUACGGAGGGUGCAAGCGUUAUCCGGAUUCACUGGGUUUAAAGGGUGCGUAGGUGGGUCUGUAAGUCAGUGGUGAAAUCUCCGAGCUUAACUUGGAAACUGCCAUUGAUACUAUAGGUCUUGAAUACUGUGGAGGUCAGCGGAAUAUGUCAUGUAGCGGUGAAAUGCUUAGAUAUGACAUAGAACACCAAUUGCGAAGGCAGCUGGCUACACAAAUAUUGACACUGAGGCACGAAAGCGUGGGGAUCAAACAGGAUUAGAAACCCCUGUAGUCC
Molecule: ribosomal RNA, 445 nt
Filed under: uncultured bacterium
Lineage: Bacteria
Description: bacterial SSU rRNA
Rfam family: Bacterial small subunit ribosomal RNA
Source: RNAcentral